This 351-nucleotide ribosomal RNA is filed under the name Arthrobacter sp. GNCB-11. Its description in RNAcentral is "bacterial SSU rRNA". It matches the Rfam family "Bacterial small subunit ribosomal RNA", at positions 499 to 847 of the family's 1533-position model. Lineage: Bacteria; Bacillati; Actinomycetota; Actinomycetes; Micrococcales; Micrococcaceae. The record is from RNAcentral.
AACUACGUGCCAGCAGCCGCGGUAAUACGUAGGGCGCAAGCGUUAUCCGGAAUUAUUGGGCGUAAAGAGCUCGUAGGCGGUUUGUCGCGUCUGCCGUGAAAGUCCGGGGCUCAACUCCGGAUCUGCGGUGGGUACGGGCAGACUAGAGUGAUGUAGGGGAGACUGGAAUUCCUGGUGUAGCGGUGAAAUGCGCAGAUAUCAGGAGGAACACCGAUGGCGAAGGCAGGUCUCUGGGCAUUAACUGACGCUGAGGAGCGAAAGCAUGGGGAGCGAACAGGAUUAGAUACCCUGGUAGUCCAUGCCGUAAACGUUGGGCACUAGGUGUGGGGGACAUUCCACGUUUUCCGCGCC